GACGAACGCUGGCGGCGUGCUUAACACAUGCAAGUCGAACGGAAAGGCCCUGCUUUUGUGGGGUGCUCGAGUGGCGAACGGGUGAGUAACACGUGAGUAACCUGCCCUUGACUUUGGGAUAACUUCAGGAAACUGGGGCUAAUACCGGAUAGGAGCUCCUGCUGCAUGGUGGGGGUUGGAAAGUUUCGGCGGUUGGGGAUGGACUCGCGGCUUAUCAGCUUGUUGGUGGGGUAGUGGCUUACCAAGGCUUUGACGGGUAGCCGGCCUGAGAGGGUGACCGGCCACAUUGGGACUGAGAUACGGCCCAGACUCCUACGGGAGGCAGCAGUGGGGAAUAUUGCACAAUGGGCGGAAGCCUGAUGCAGCAACGCCGCGUGCGGGAUGACGGCCUUCGGGUUGUAAACCGCUUUCGCCUGUGACGAAGCGUGAGUGACGGUAAUGGGUAAAGAAGCGCCGGCUAACUACAUG
RNAcentral lists this ribosomal RNA (468 nucleotides) under uncultured bacterium. RNAcentral describes it as "partial 16S ribosomal RNA". It matches the Rfam family "Bacterial small subunit ribosomal RNA", at positions 28 to 507 of the family's 1533-position model. The record is from RNAcentral.